RNAcentral lists this ribosomal RNA (1086 nucleotides) under human gut metagenome. RNAcentral's name for it is "bacterial LSU rRNA". It matches the Rfam family "Bacterial large subunit ribosomal RNA", at positions 1805 to 2894 of the family's 2925-position model. The record is from RNAcentral.
UACCAAAAACACAGGUUUGUGCUAAAUCGAAAGAUGACGUAUACGAGCUGACGCCUGCCCGGUGCUGGAAGGUUAAAAGGAGAUGUGCAAGCAUUGAAUUGAAGCCCCAGUGAACGGCGGCCGUAACUAUAACGGUCCUAAGGUAGCGAAAUUCCUUGUCAGGUAAGUUCUGACCCGCAUGAAAGGCGUAAUGAUCUGGGCACUGUCUCAACAGCCCGCCCGGCGAAAUUGUAGUACCGGUGAAGAUGCCGGUUACCCGCGACAAGACGGAAAGACCCCAUGGAGCUUUACUGUAGCCUAAUAUUGGGUUUCGGUGUUGCAUGCACAGGAUAGAUGGGACGCUGGGAAGUGAGUGCUUUGGCAUUCAUGGAGCGGCCGUUGGGAUACCAUCCUUGCGACAUUGGAAUUCUAACCUGCGCCUUUGAAUCAAGGCGGGGGACAUUGUUAGGUGGGCAGUUUGACUGGGGCGGUCGCCUCCUAAAGAGUAGCGGAGGCGUUCAAAGGUUGGCUCGUCCUGGACGGAAACCAGGAGAGAGAGUGCAAACGCAAAAGCCAGCCUGACUGCGAGACUGACGGGUCGAGCAGAGACGAAAGUCGGAGUUAGUGAUCCGGUGGUAUGUGAGUGGAAAUGCCAUCGCUCAACGGAUAAAAGUUACCCUGGGGAUAACAGGCUGAUCUCCCCCAAGAGUCCACAUCGACGGGGAGGUUUGGCACCUCGAUGUCGGCUCAUCGCAUCCUGGGGCUGUAUUCGGUCCCAAGGGUUUGGCUGUUCGCCAAUUAAAGCGGUACGCGAGCUGGGUUCAGAACGUCGUGAGACAGUUCGGUCCCUAUCUGUCGUGGGCGCAGGAUAUUUGAAAGGCGCUGUCCCUAGUACGAGAGGACCGGGAUGGACGAACCUCUGGUGCACCAGUUGUCACGCCAGUGGCACAGCUGGGCAGCUAUGUUCGGAUCGGAUAAACGCUGAAAGCAUCUAAGCGUGAAGCCGGCCUUAAGAUAAGAUAUCCCACUGAGAUAAUCAGGUAAGACCCCUUGAAGACUACAAGGUUGAUAGGCACAAUGUGUAAGUGGCGCGAGUCAUUGAGCAAG